AGGUCAAUUAAGGCAAACUCACACACACAAUACAUAAGAAAGACUUGAACCCAAGAUCUCUUGUUGAUAGCAAAGUUCUCAACUAACAGACCAAGGACGAUGACAUGUGAAGAAGAAGUCGCGACUAUAUCUUAUUGGGAGAGGCCAUUAAUGAGACCUAUGGCUUGUGCUUGCAAAAACCUCGACGAUGAAGAAGAUUAGAUGAACUCACAAUGAGAGCUUGUUGGGAGGCCAUUGAUGUGACUAGUGGUGUGCGCACUUGAAACCCUCAUCAAUGAAGAAGAGUUUAAUGAAGUAGCAAAGGAAAAGCAUGGUUAACAGGAAUUUAGCAGUAAUAAAUGUGAUUAACUCGUAA
This is a long non-coding RNA of Dendrobium catenatum, 355 nucleotides long. RefSeq lists it as uncharacterized. The record is from RefSeq and is a predicted model, not a curated record. Lineage: Eukaryota; Viridiplantae; Streptophyta; Magnoliopsida; Asparagales; Orchidaceae. The transcript is spliced from 2 exons.